GCGCCCGUAGCUCAGCUGGAUAGAGUACCGCCCUCCGAAGGCGGUGGUCACAGGUUCGAAUCCUGUCGGGCGCACCA
This 77-nucleotide transfer RNA is filed under the name Thiotrichaceae bacterium. Its description in RNAcentral is "tRNA-Arg". It matches the Rfam family "tRNA". From Rfam's summary of the family: Transfer RNA (tRNA) molecules are approximately 80 nucleotides in length. Their secondary structure includes four short double-helical elements and three loops (D, anti-codon, and T loops). Lineage: Bacteria; Pseudomonadati; Pseudomonadota; Gammaproteobacteria; Thiotrichales; Thiotrichaceae. The record is from RNAcentral.